This is a non-coding RNA of Taeniopygia guttata (zebra finch), 1829 nucleotides long. The record is from RefSeq and is a predicted model, not a curated record. Lineage: Eukaryota; Metazoa; Chordata; Aves; Passeriformes; Estrildidae.
UUCUGGCUGUGCCCAGCUGUUCCCAGGUGCACUCCAGGUGUGCCCAGCUGUGCCCAGGUGUGUUCUGGGUGUGCCCAGCUGUGCCCAGGUGUGCCCAGCUGUGUGUGUGCAUGUGCUCUGCGUGUGCAGCACGAGAUCCGAUCACUCCUUCCGUUCUCCGUUUCGUCCUUGGGUUGAUUGUUUGAUUAUUUUCGGGUUUUAUUUUAAUUUCAAUUCCUUUUUUCGUCCUUUUUCCCCCCUUCCUCUGAUUUUGCGUUUUGUUUGUUUUUCGGGUUUUUUUUAUUGUAUCUCGAUCAUUUUUGUACAGAAGAAACGAGAGCCUUUUUUUGAAUAACAAAGAGAAAACACACACAAAAAAGGACAAAAAAAAGAAAAAAAAAAAAAAGAAAAAAAUACCAAAAAUUAAAAAGAGGAAGGAAGGUUAAAAAAAAAAAAAAAGGAAAAAAAAAAAUCAUGAUGCAAUUUCUUUGGAUUGCAAAAAAAGCAACUCUUUACAUUUAAGUGAAGUGUCUUAACAUUUUAUAUUGUUUUAAAAAAUAUAUUUACAUAUUAUAUAUAUAUAAUAUACGUAAUAUAAAUCUAUAUAUAAAUAUUUAAAGAGGGGAAAAAAAAAUCCUAAAAAAAAAAAAAAAAGAGGAAAAAAGAAGAGAAAUAGAGAAAUAAAUAAAUCACGUCCGGAAUUAUUUAGGGGCUGGAUUCCAAAUCCCUGCUUAGGUUUAGAGCUCCUCGUGUCGCGCUGAGUCCCCGCCCUCUCUCCUUGUCCCCAGGUGUCCCCAGGUGUCCCCAGGUGUCCCCUGGUGGCCUUGGGGACACCGGCCCGCGCCCCAGUGCCAGCAGCAAUAGCAGUCGCGGAUGCGUUCCCAAUUAAUUUGAUUUUUAAUUAAUUUUUUUUCUCGGUACCAAAGUGGAUUCGCUGUAGCAAAGCCGCAGUGGUGGCACGUGGCGCUGUCCCCUCCCCUGCCCCGCCCUGUCACCUUCUGUCACCUCCUUUUGUCACCUCCUGGCGCCUGAGGAGGGGGCGCGGUGGCAGCUCCCGAGCGCUGCUGGCUGGAGGUGACAAUGCCACCCCCUUGGGGACACCCAUAUGGGGGUGACAAGUGCCACCCCCUUGUGGACACCCUCAAAAAUGUCAUGGGGGGGUGACAAUGCCACCCACUCGGUGACACCCACCUCCAGGGUGACAAUGCCACCCACUUGAGGACACCCACAAAAAUGUCAUGGGGGGUUGACAAGUGCCACCCUCCAUGGGGACGCCAACAAAAAUGACACUGGAGGAGGCUGUCCUCAAUGUCCCCACUUUAGUGUCCCCAUCAUGGUGUCCCCACCUCGGUGUCCCAAAUUUGGUGUCCUCAUCUCGGUGUCCCCAAUUUGGUGUCCCCAUCUUGGUGUCCCAAAUUUGGUGACCCCAACUUGAUAUCCCAAAUUUGGUGUCCCCAUCUUGGUGUCCCCAUCUCGGUGUCCCAAAUUUGGUGUCCCCAUCUUGGUGUCCCCAUCUCGGUGUCCCAAAUUUGGUGUCCCCAUCUUGGUGUCCCAAAUUUGGUAACCCCAUCUUGAUGUCCCCAAUUUGGUGUCCCCAUCUUGGUGUCCCCAUCUCAGUGUCCCCAAUUUGGUGUCCCAAAUUUGGUGUCCCCAUCUUGGUGUCCCCAUCUCAGUGUCCCAAAUUUGGUGUCCCCAAUUUGGUGUCCCCACCAUGGUGUCCCCAGCCUGUCACCAAUUUUGGGGCUGGUCCCCUGCUUUGUCCCCAGGCCGCCCCUCUCCGCUCGUCAUAAGCCGGGAGGUGACAAUGCCAAACCAGGGGGUGACAGCGCCAGGUGAGGGGGGUGACAAGG